RNAcentral lists this ribosomal RNA (228 nucleotides) under Salmonella enterica. RNAcentral describes it as "partial 23S ribosomal RNA". It matches the Rfam family "Bacterial large subunit ribosomal RNA", at positions 1 to 220 of the family's 2925-position model. Lineage: Bacteria; Pseudomonadati; Pseudomonadota; Gammaproteobacteria; Enterobacterales; Enterobacteriaceae. RNAcentral also lists the same sequence under 1 other name. The record is from RNAcentral.
GGGUUGUGAGGUUAAGCGACUAAGCGUACACGGUGGAUGCCCUGGCAGUCAGAGGCGAUGAAGGACGUGCUAAUCUGCGAUAAGCGCCGGUAAGGUGAUAUGAACCGUUAUAACCGGCGAUUUCCGAAUGGGGAAACCCAGUGUGACUCGUCACACUAUCAUUAACUGAAUCCAUAGGUUAAUGAGGCGAACCGGGGGAACUGAAACAUCUAAGUACCCCGAGGAAAA